GACGAACGCUGGCGGCGUGCUUAACACAUGCAAGUCGAACGGAAAGGCCCUGCUUUUGUGGGGUGCUCGAGUGGCGAACGGGUGAGUAACACGUGAGUAACCUGCCCUUGACUUUGGGAUAACUUCAGGAAACUGGGGCUAAUACCGGAUAGGAGCUCCUGCUGCAUGGUGGGGGUUGGAAAGUUUCGGCGGUUGGGGAUGGACUCGCGGCUUAUCAGCUUGUUGGUGGGGUAGUGGCUUACCAAGGCUUUGACGGGUAGCCGGCCUGAGAGGGUGACCGGCGACAUUGGGACUGAGAUACGGCCCAGACUCCUACGGGAGGCAGCAGUGGGGAAUCUUGCACAAUGGGCGGAAGCCUGAUGCAGCGACGCCGCGUGCGGGAUGACGGCCUUCGGGUUGUAAACCGCUUUCGCCUGUGACGAAGCGUGAGUGACGGUAAUGGGUAAAGAAGCACCGGCUAACUACGUG
Molecule: ribosomal RNA, 468 nt
Filed under: uncultured bacterium
Lineage: Bacteria
Description: partial 16S ribosomal RNA
Rfam family: Bacterial small subunit ribosomal RNA
Source: RNAcentral